UACGUAGGGGGCGAGCGUUGUCCGGACUUACUGGGCGUAAAGCGCGUGUAGGUGGUGGGACAAGUCUGCUGUGAAAGCGCCUGGCUUAACCGGGCGAGGUCGGCGGGAACUGUUUCACUGGAGGACGGUAGAGGGGGGUGGAAUUCCCGGUGUAGUGGUGAAAUGCGUAGAGAUCGGGAGGAACACCUGUGGCGAAGGCGGCCCCCUGGGCCGGCCCUGACACUGAGACGCGAAGGCGUGGGGAGCGAACGGG
Molecule: ribosomal RNA, 253 nt
Filed under: uncultured bacterium
Lineage: Bacteria
Description: partial 16S ribosomal RNA
Rfam family: Bacterial small subunit ribosomal RNA
Source: RNAcentral